CCCGCCCGUACGGAGGGAGCCGCCGUCGCUGCGGCUGAGGAGCGGGCGCCGCGCAGGCGCACGGCCGGGCUCCGUGUCUCGGGGCGGGGC
Molecule: transfer RNA, 90 nt
Filed under: Streptomyces sp. 6-11-2
Lineage: Bacteria; Bacillati; Actinomycetota; Actinomycetes; Kitasatosporales; Streptomycetaceae
Description: tRNA-Arg
Source: RNAcentral